AAAUUGUUUCGUUUAUAAUAGAAUUUGGAAUCAGAAUCAACUUAUUAUUAUUAUUAUUAUAUGAUUAAGAAAAAUUUAAUAUAUUAUAUAAAUUUGUAAUAAAAAUUUAAAUUUAAAUUUAAAUUUAAUUCGUAAUCUAAAUUUUUAAUUUAAAUUUAAUUUUUUAAUCUAAAUAAGUUCAAAAUCAAAAUCUAAAACUAUAUCUAAAUUCAAAUAUCAGACAUAUAUUGAAAAUAAAAUUUAAAUUUAAAAAUAAUAAAAUUUGAAUUUAUAAUAUAAAUUUAAAAUUAAAAUUAUAAUUUAAUCUAAAUUUAAAUUUAUAUGUAUAUUUAAAUUUA
This 338-nucleotide long non-coding RNA is filed under the name Ananas comosus (pineapple). RNAcentral describes it as "long non-coding RNA (ACOM_LNC009756)". Lineage: Eukaryota; Viridiplantae; Streptophyta; Magnoliopsida; Poales; Bromeliaceae. The record is from RNAcentral.